This 253-nucleotide ribosomal RNA is filed under the name uncultured bacterium. RNAcentral's name for it is "partial 16S ribosomal RNA". It matches the Rfam family "Bacterial small subunit ribosomal RNA", at positions 524 to 776 of the family's 1533-position model. The record is from RNAcentral.
GACAGAGGGUGCAAACGUUGUUCGGAUUUACUGGGCGUAAAGCGCGUGUAGGCGGCUUUGCAAGUCGGAUGUGAAAUCCCACGGCUCAACCGUGGAAGUGCAUCCGAAACUGCAUCGCUGGAGUCUCGGAGAGGAAGGUGGAAUGCUUGGUGUAGAGGUGAAAUUCGUAGAUACCAAGCAGAACACCUGCGGCGAAGGCGGCCUUCUGGACGAUGACUGACGCUGAGACGCGAAAGCGUGGGGAGCAAACGGG